This 685-nucleotide long non-coding RNA is filed under the name Homo sapiens (human). Its description in RNAcentral is "HSALNT0087099". The record is from RNAcentral. Lineage: Eukaryota; Metazoa; Chordata; Mammalia; Primates; Hominidae.
GUAUAUUUCUCACAACAGCUGUUCUAUGCCUCAUUUUAAUCCUUCCUCUGUCAGCCUAAACCCAAUCCUGCCUUCUCAUCUUUGACAGCAGCAGUCAACUUUUGUCUGUGGAAAACAACUUUGGCUUCAUUGAGAAAAGGAUAUAGAAAGCAGGAGGAUAUACCUGUCUUCAAGCACCAGCUGGUCAUCACAUGCAUGCCUGUACCACCAAGGAGGGCACUCAUAGGUCUCCUGCCUUACCACUAACCUUUUACAUGAGCACCUAGUAGAGGCCAGUGGGAAAAAGCUGAUAAGUGAGUAUAGUCUCUUUGUGUCUUGUAAAUUUUUUUAAUUUAUUUUUUGUGUGCUUGUUUUAUAGGAGCAGAUUGGAAAACUAGAUAAAAGUAGGGGCUAUAUCUGUUUUAGUUCCCAAUUGUAACUGCAACAUGCCUGUAGGAACUAAAACACUAUUUGUUAAAUGAACUUAUCUUUUAUUUUGCUUCUAAGUUUUCUUUUUAUAGAUAGCCCUGUAAUAACAGAAAGUAAUUGCAACUGCUUUCAUGCCUAACAGAUCACAGGGAAAAUAAAUUGAAUAGAAAUUCAAACCAGUGUAUUAGAGAACUAUAAUAUAUAUACAAUAUAUUAUGUAUUUAUAUUCUACCUUGUUCACAAAGGAUUUGGGAAAGAUAUUAUAAUACUAGCUCAU